AGUGAACGCUGGCGGUAGGCCUAACACAUGCAUGUCGAACGGCAGCACAGUAAGAGCUUGCUCUUACGGGUGGCGAGUGGCAGACGGGUGAGGAAUACAUCGGAAUCUACUUUUUCGUGGGGGAUAACGUAGGGAAACUUACGCUAAUACCGCAUACGACCUACGGGUGAAAGCAGGGGAUCUUCGGACCUUGCGCGAUUGAAUGAGCCGAUGUCGGAUUAGCUAGUUGGCGGGGUAAAGGCCCACCAAGGCGACGAUCCGUAGCUGGUCUGAGAGGAUGAUCAGCCACACUGGAACUGAGACACGGUCCAGACUCCUACGGGAGGCAGCAGUGGGGAAUAUUGGACAACGGGCGCAAGCCUGAUCCAGCCAUACCGCGUGGGUGAAGAAGGCCUUCGGGUUGUAAAGCCCUUUUGUUGGGAAAGAAAAGCAGCAGGUUAAUACCCCGCUGUUCUGACGGUACCCAAAGAAUAAGCACCGGCUAACUUCGUG
RNAcentral lists this ribosomal RNA (492 nucleotides) under uncultured bacterium. RNAcentral describes it as "partial 16S ribosomal RNA". It matches the Rfam family "Bacterial small subunit ribosomal RNA", at positions 29 to 507 of the family's 1533-position model. The record is from RNAcentral.